CACUCCUGCGGGAGGCAGCAGUGGGGAAUAUUGCACAAUGGGCGCAAGCCUGAUGCAGCCAUGCCGCGUGUAUGAAGAAGGCCUUCGGGUUGUAAAGUACUUUCAGCGGGGAGGAAGGCGAUAAGGUUAAUAACCUUGUUGAUUGACGUUACCCGCAGAAGAAGCACCGGCUAACUCCGUGCCAGCAGCCGCGGUAAUACGGAGGGUGCAAGCGUUAAUCGGAAUUACUGGGCGUAAAGCGCACGCAGGCGGUCUGUCAAGUCGGAUGUGAAAUCCCCGGGCUCAACCUGGGAACUGCAUUCGAAACUGGCAGGCUAGAGUCUUGUAGAGGGGGGUAGAAUUCCAGGUGUAGCGGUGAAAUGCGUAGAGAUCUGGAGGAAUACCGGUGGCGAAGGCGGCCCCCUGGACAAAGACUGACGCUCAGGUGCGAAAGCGUGGGGAGCAAACAGGAUUAGAAACCCUAGUAGUCCCAUG
This 474-nucleotide ribosomal RNA is filed under the name uncultured organism. RNAcentral's name for it is "partial 16S ribosomal RNA". It matches the Rfam family "Bacterial small subunit ribosomal RNA", at positions 334 to 799 of the family's 1533-position model. The record is from RNAcentral.